CCGUCUUUAUCACAUACCGCCUCUGCCAAGCGAACCGAAUGAAGCCUGUCCUUUGUGUUGACGUCACGCGGUUGGCAACAGGCGUCUAGUAGCGACUCUCCAACACUGCGUUCCGAUUGGCUACUCGUCUCAGAUCUCCGUCGCUAUUGGAGGACGCCAGGACAGGCCUUACUACAUUACAAAGCAUAGGCUGCCAUCUUCUUGUAGACAGUUUAAGGAGAGAGACGGUGGUUUUGUUUGAGAGAUGUGGAACGUUCUUUAUAUGUUGUGUUCGUGAAUAGAAGUUUAAAGAAGCAGCGAGUUUCCUGUGUUGACCAGCAUCAGUUUAACAUCAUUUUGGAGCAAUAACGCACCAGAGAGAAGUCGCUGGGCUUCUUGUAACCACCGUGUGCCGAGGAGAUUCAUGUCCGGCCCCGCCGCACAGGUCAAGCCCUGUUGGCACAUGAGAACAAUAACACCCGCAGGACUGCCCGCCAGAUCAGAGAGCAGUGCAGAACAUUGUCCGAGCUGGAGCGGAACCGGAGGCUUGAGACGGGAGGAGACCAACGAUUUCUGCAACCUUUCAUCCACAAAGA
Molecule: long non-coding RNA, 575 nt
Organism: Polypterus senegalus (gray bichir)
Lineage: Eukaryota; Metazoa; Chordata; Cladistia; Polypteriformes; Polypteridae
Exons: 3
Source: RefSeq, a predicted model, not a curated record